RNAcentral lists this ribosomal RNA (497 nucleotides) under uncultured bacterium. RNAcentral describes it as "partial 16S ribosomal RNA". It matches the Rfam family "Bacterial small subunit ribosomal RNA", at positions 28 to 523 of the family's 1533-position model. The record is from RNAcentral.
GAUGAACGCUGGCGGCGUGCUUAACACAUGCAAGUCGAGCGAAGCACUUUACUUGGAUUUCUUCGGAAUGACGAGUAUUGUGACUGAGCGGCGGACGGGUGAGUAACGCGUGGGUAACCUGCCUCAUACAGGGGGAUAACAGUUAGAAAUGACUGCUAAUACCGCAUAAGACCACAGCACCGCAUGGUGCAGGGGUAAAAACUCCGGUGGUAUGAGAUGGACCCGCGUCUGAUUAGCUGGUUGGUGGGGUAACGGCCUACCAAAGCAACGAUCAGUAGCCGACCUGAGAGGGCGACCGGCCACAUUGGGACUGAGACACGGCCCAAACUCCUACGGGAGGCAGCAGUGGGGAAUAUUGCACAAUGGGGGAAACCCUGAUGCAGCGACGCCGCGUGAAGGAAGAAGUAUUUCGGUAUGUAAACUUCUAUCAGCAGGGAAGAAGAUGACGGUACCUGACUAAGAAGCCCCGGCUAACUACGUGCCAGCAGCCGCCGUAA